RNAcentral lists this ribosomal RNA (460 nucleotides) under uncultured bacterium. RNAcentral's name for it is "partial 16S ribosomal RNA". It matches the Rfam family "Bacterial small subunit ribosomal RNA", at positions 338 to 795 of the family's 1533-position model. The record is from RNAcentral.
CCUACGGGAGGCAGCAGUGAGGAAUAUUGGUCAAUGGGCGCGAGCCUGAACCAGCCAAGUAGCGUGAAGGAUGACUGCCCUACGGGUUGUAAACUUCUUUUAUAUGGGAGUAAAACAGGGUAUGCAUACCCUCUGGUAUGUACCAUAUGAAUAAGGAUCGGCUAACUCCGUGCCAGCAGCAGCGGUAAUACGGAGGAUCCGAGCGUUAUCCGGAUUUAUUGGGUUUAAAGGGAGCGUAGGUGGAUUGUUAAGUCAGUUGUGAAAGUUUGCGGCUCAACCAUAAAAUUGCAGUUGAAACUGGCAGUCUUGAGUACAGUAGAGGUGGGCGGAAUUCGUGGUGUAGCGGUGAAAUGCUUAGAUAUCACGAAGAACUCCGAUUGCGAAGGCAGCUCACUGGACUGCAACUGACACUGAUGCUCGAAAGUGUGGGUAUCAAACAGGAUUAGAUACCCCAGUAGUC